This is a long non-coding RNA of Myotis daubentonii (Daubenton's bat), 1427 nucleotides long. RefSeq lists it as uncharacterized. Lineage: Eukaryota; Metazoa; Chordata; Mammalia; Chiroptera; Vespertilionidae. The record is from RefSeq and is a predicted model, not a curated record.
GGACAAAAUACCUUGUUGCUGAGAACACAUUAAGACCUUGGGUCACCAAGACCUGAAGUACCAGGAGGGCAAACUUUCUUCGUGAACUUCCACACAGAGAAAGCAGCGAUGGGGCACAUAUAUACAUGCGAGGAGGCUUAGCCAAAGAAGCACGGACUAUAUAUUUUUUUUCAUGUCUUCGUGUUAUUUGCUGAUUCUUCGGUGAGAUAGCUCAUUUUUCUUCAGGUUUCCAGCAAAUUACAGGGCAAGAGAAGAAAGGCCAAGAGAGGAAAGAGAAGAAGGCUGAAAAUGAAAGGCAGAGGAAGAUGCUACUGAUGGACUCUUGUUGCCCUGUUCCACACUCCAUGGCCCCUACAGAAAAGCUGUUUGCGAUUCAACAGCACCAUCAGCAGGGGAGCUAGCCCAGCUGAACCCUCAUCACAGGUUGCUGCUGUUGCUGCUUCAGGAUCAGAAUACACGGCUGCCAUCCACAAAAGCAAGGGAGAGCUGUUCUGCCAGAGAGGGUGAUGGAAAGAACAUGAGCUUUAGAUUAGACAACCUAGCUUCAUAGUGUAGCUAAAUGCCCUCGGGUAAAUGAUCUAAGCUUUAGUGGUUUCAGCAAUCUCUAGCAAGGCCUAAGAAAUUAUCUGGCACACAGUCAUUGUUCAACGGUUGCUUGUUCCCUGUGGUUUUCUUUCCAGGUCAUUACAAGAACACCAUAACCCCUACCCUUAGCUUUCACCUGUGAUAUCUUCCUGAACUUUCUGCCUUAACUGCACCUGACCUCUCGCCUGCUCCGACAGAUAAAGGACAUCUGAUCCUCCCUUGAUACUUCUCUGAAAUAUAAUCUUCUAACCUUCCUGAAUUUCUGGGGGGAAGGGACCUUAGUGGUCAUCUAGUCUAUGGUGGAAGCUUAUAAAGAUAAUGAAAUAAAACGAAGGAAUCAUUUUGGGUCCCCAUUUCAGGAGGGAGGGUGGGAAACAGUCUUCAGGGUCAAGCCUACUUGCCUAAGGGUUCUUUCUCCUUUUGUUCUCUUGCUUAGAAGUCUUGUCUGACACCCCAUUCCUUUUCUUUUUAAAAAAUAUAUUUUUAUUCAUUUCAGAGAGGAAGGGAGAGGGAGAGAGAGAUAGAAACACCAGUGAUGAAUCAUUGAUUGGCUACCUCCUGCAUGCCAGCUGGGGAUUGAGCCCGCACCCGGGCAUGUGCCCUGACAGAGAUUUGAACCGUGACUUCCUGGUUCAUAGGUUGAUGCUCAACCACUAAGCAACACCAGCCGGGCUAUAUGUGAAUUUUUGAUGGCACAGCGGGCUGGUGCCCCCUAACCCCAUGUUGUUGAAAGGUCAACUGUAUAUAAAAACGAGUACGGAUACUUCAAAUUACUCUGGCAUCCCCUGAGACUCUGAAUAAUUCUUGCUAAGAAGCAUAAGUCAGACAUCCACACUUGUGCC